RNAcentral lists this non-coding RNA (77 nucleotides) under Thermoanaerobacterales bacterium. The record is from RNAcentral. Lineage: Bacteria; Bacillati; Bacillota; Clostridia; Thermoanaerobacterales.
CCGUGCUAGACGGGGAGGUAGCGGUGCCCUGUACCCACAAUCUGCUAUAGUGGGGUCGAAUUUCUUUAGUGACACGG